AAAAUAUUUGGUUCUGGUAUAAUGUUAGCUACAGAGUUUUUUACAUUACACAAUGUAGGAUAAUUUCGUGAUGUGUGAAAGUCUGAUUUACGUGAUAAGCCGAAACUUAAAGUAUCCUAAAAGGAAAAAUUGGCAGCAGGAGCAUAAGUUUUUAAUGAUGACGCGAAGGAAAUCACAACUCAAGUGGGUAGAUCUGGAAAUCAAUGAGUUCUAGCUUGAAACGAAUAAAAAACUAACUAAAUUGAAGCGAAAGAGGGUGCCAGCAGCUGCGGUCACUCCCUCUCUCGAGGAGCUAAUAAGGGUGCAGCUUAGAGGCAGUUAGUCAAAAUGCAUAACGCAAGACAUACAGCAGGGACUAUGGGUGAAAUCUCAGUCCUGCGGGAGGUCCAAAACUUGCGUAAAGAUGAGUCUGCGAAGUUAUGGGUAUAGACCCGGAUUUGGUACCCGGUUAUUCCAUAAUGUCAAGUAUAGCUAUUUUAUUUGAAUUAAUAGUUUGCUAGGGGUACUACGAGCAACUGCUUAAAACUCGAAGAACUUGGCGGUUCCGCAUAACCAUCCAGAGGCUCUUGGCGCUUAAUCUGAUGAUCCGCGUGAUAUCUUACCUGCCCUAUAGAAAGCAGUGUACUGCCGUCGAAAGCUUAUGAUGUGAGUAAAUGAAAAUAGGCCCAAUCUUGGGAUUUUAAGUAAUUAAUAAUCAUACCGAGGCUAGGUCAGGUCGAAGUGCUCCUUAUGGGCAAGGGGUUAGCUGAGAGACAAAUAUUUAGACAUAUAAAGAUUUUAGAGAUGAAAUUCUCUUAGUGAAUAUAAGGAUUUGGGAGUAAAAAGAGAGUAAUUCGUUUUUUUGAAAAGACGCAACUGCGGUGCGUUCAAAUCGCCCGUCACCCUAGCCGAAAGGAGAGGUAAGUCGUAACAUGGUAAGGGUAGGGGAACUUGCUCUUUUAAUAAC
This 946-nucleotide non-coding RNA is filed under the name Magallana hongkongensis (Hong Kong oyster). RNAcentral describes it as "12S ribosomal RNA". The stretch from base 174 to 945 matches the Rfam family "Microsporidia small subunit ribosomal RNA". The record is from RNAcentral. Lineage: Eukaryota; Metazoa; Mollusca; Bivalvia; Ostreida; Ostreidae.